UACGGGGGGGGCAAGCGUUGUUCGGAAUUACUGGGCGUAAAGGGCUCGUAGGCGGCUGUGUAAGUCUGCUGUCAAAGAGCAAGGCUCAACUUUGUAAAGGCAGUGGAAACUACACGGCUAGAGUGCGUUCGGGGCAGAGGGAAUUCCUGGUGUAGCGGUGAAAUGCGUAGAGAUCAGGAGGAACACCCAUGGCGAAGGCAGCUCGCUGGGACGUUACUGACGCUGAGACGCGAAAGCGUGGGGAGCGAACAGG
This 253-nucleotide ribosomal RNA is filed under the name uncultured bacterium. Its description in RNAcentral is "partial 16S ribosomal RNA". It matches the Rfam family "Bacterial small subunit ribosomal RNA", at positions 524 to 776 of the family's 1533-position model. The record is from RNAcentral.